RNAcentral lists this long non-coding RNA (201 nucleotides) under Capsicum annuum. Its description in RNAcentral is "long non-coding RNA (CANN_LNC015697)". Lineage: Eukaryota; Viridiplantae; Streptophyta; Magnoliopsida; Solanales; Solanaceae. The record is from RNAcentral.
UCAUUUCUAAUUGUUUGAAGAAUGCCGAUUUAAAUUUUUGCAACAUGCCUUAUGUCUUUGGGACAAAAAUAUCCCUCUUUUAUUUUUUAAAUAUAUAGGCUAGAUCUUGGUGACUAUAAAUCUGUUGAAUUAAGACCUCUCUUGUAUUCUUUUCUUAUCACAUCAAAAGUAGGUUGCCUAAAUUUCUAUUGGAAACAAAAG